GUUUAAGAUGUAGAACUGGACACUGGGAAUCACCUUUAGCUUUGGACUCUUAUUAGUCGGCAGACAACAGACUUAGCAUAAAAAAAUUCAACAUAUUUAUGCAGCUCAGUUUUACUGUAAUGUAGUAAGGCAGGCUAAUGUAUAUUGUGUUAUUUAUAUAUGAUCAACUAACUCUCAGGAUGAGUACAUUAGUAGCUUAGCCCGCCUGCUUUUGGUAGUUAAUUAUACUUGUGUUGUAAGAGGCUGAUCUUAUAUUGUGUUUUUCCAGACACUCCGGCAAAGCAAUGGCGUCUGAUGUACAGAAUGUUGAACAUAAAGUGCCUUCCCUUUUCACUCAACAUGUAAUUGCUGUAUUUGUGCAUGCUGUCAGCUGCAGCUUAAACAAAAGAACAACAUUUGGCGCCCUGGACGUGGGAAGGCUCUGCCCUUGGUACCCCCCUCCACGUCCCGCUGGCGGUACGUGUUGGAUCAAGGACAUCCUUAUCACGCGAAUAAACAAUCCACAUUCCAGAUCACCGGUUUGCUGGAUUCUGCAUACAACACCGGACCCAAUUCGGACUAAAAGGCACCAGAGUGGCCCGGACUACAAUGAAACAACAAUCAACUCCAGGACGUGGCAGCACCCCCAACCCCCCAAAGACGAUCAACGCCCCAGGCCAUCAGGAAGCAGCCUUAAGACAUCUUCGCCCCUACUUCCCUAACCUGCCACGCCCAAUUCUCUAACUUUUAUAAUAAACAACAGCCGGGAUUGUAAGAACAAAACACCUGGAUGACCCUAACCCCGCCCCCUAACAAGCGGGUACUCACUCACCCGCCAUGCCUUUCGACCUUUGCCCUACUGCGCAUAUGCAAUCUUCCCUUUAAAAGGUCCUGCCCCACACCCCUCUUUCUCUUUCUCUCGGCUUCCCUAGGGUUGGCUGACUGCCCAUCCCCUCUUUCCCCCCUCUCUGAUAAAUAAACUCCACGUGGGUUGCUUAUUCGUUGUUCCUUUCCUUGUUAGCAGCUGCAGCUUAAACAAAAGAACAACAGUUAGGAUGCCAACAACGCAAAGACUUCAAGAAGUCCCUGAAAAUGACCAGACAGACUGGGCCCCUCCCUUACCAAGCAUACAUAAGUAGUGAGACUCUCAGACCAGCCAAGCCAAGGAAGAUACAAACUGCCCAGAAGCAGAGAUCAUAUGAACUGCCUGGAAGAGACUCAACUGAGCCACCAGGGAAGGACACUCUCCAACCUACUGGGUGGCCCACAAGCACAGUUCAGUUUGCUCCAGGCUUUAGUGAGCUGUCACAUGUGCUGUCAUGGGCUUUGGUGAUGUUGGUGGCUUUGAGUCAUUUCUGUUCCCAUAAGUAACCACACACCCAUACUCCUCUAAGUGAGCCCAUUGAAACUCACAGGUUCACCAGUUGGACUUUGGUGGUGUCCUUACUUUGGCCUGUCACUAAUUCCCUAUCUGGGAUGAGUAGAUUUUGUUCUUGUCUCUCAGGUACUGUGUCACACAGCACAGAUCCAGAGCCAAGUUAUCUUGGGCUACCUUCAGCUCAUUUACUUUGUAUGUAACCUAACAUCCUUAUGAAUUAUCAGAUGAAUCUUCAUUGGUGGAACAUACUUGCUUAAUAAAUCACAAGUUUCCACUGUCUCAAAAGCCAAAAAUGUUAUCAGACAGCAUCUGAAACCUAUAGCAGAAGCUGGAAACAAUUUAUCUUUCUACCUACCCUUUGCAGGAAACAUGGCCCACACAGUAUCUGUAGACCUAACUAUUUUCUCCUGUAUUUAGCUGGCAUCUCAUCAAUCUUAGGAGAUUGCUGCUUUGCUGUAACCUGGCUACCUCAUGCUUCCACUGCUGUAUCUGAAAGCACUUUGAUAAUUACUUUCUUUUGUUCUCUAAGUAUAAAACCUACAUGAAACCAUUCUCACAUUCAAAUACAGUUUUGGGGGCAAAUGGAAGUCAUCACAGGCUAUGGACACUUGUG
RNAcentral lists this long non-coding RNA (1970 nucleotides) under Cricetulus griseus (Chinese hamster). Its description in RNAcentral is "lncRNA (ENSCGRG00000025442.1)". The record is from RNAcentral. Lineage: Eukaryota; Metazoa; Chordata; Mammalia; Rodentia; Cricetidae.